This 253-nucleotide ribosomal RNA is filed under the name uncultured bacterium. Its description in RNAcentral is "partial 16S ribosomal RNA". It matches the Rfam family "Bacterial small subunit ribosomal RNA", at positions 524 to 776 of the family's 1533-position model. The record is from RNAcentral.
GACAGAGGAUGCAAGCGUUAUCCGGAAUUAUUGGGCGUAAAGAGCUCGUAGGCGGUUUGUCGCGUCUGCUGUGAAAACUGGGGGCUCAACCCCCAGCCUGCAGUGGGUACGGGCAGACUAGAGUGCGGUAGGGGAGAUUGGAAUUCCUGGUGUAGCGGUGGAAUGCGCAGAUAUCAGGAGGAACACCGAUGGCGAAGGCAGAUCUCUGGGCCGUAACUGACGCUGAGGAGCGAAAGCAUGGGGAGCGAACAGG